Molecule: ribosomal RNA, 257 nt
Filed under: uncultured Pseudomonas sp.
Lineage: Bacteria; Pseudomonadati; Pseudomonadota; Gammaproteobacteria; Pseudomonadales; Pseudomonadaceae
Description: partial 16S ribosomal RNA
Rfam family: Bacterial small subunit ribosomal RNA
Source: RNAcentral
CGGCGGACGGGUGAGUAAUGCCUAGGAAUCUGCCUGGUAGUGGGGGACAACGUUUCGAAAGGAACGCUAAUACCGCAUACGUCCUACGGGAGAAAGCAGGGGACCUUCGGGCCUUGCGCUAUCAGAUGAGCCUAGGUCGGAUUAGCUAGUUGGUGAGGUAAUGGCCCACCAAGGCGACGAUCCGUAACUGGUCUGAGAGGAUGAUCAGUCACACUGGAACUGAGACACGGUCCAGACUCCUACGGGAGGCAGCAGCG